Malaclemys terrapin pileata is the source of this 499-nucleotide long non-coding RNA. RefSeq lists it as uncharacterized. The transcript is spliced from 3 exons. NCBI's taxonomy places the organism in Eukaryota, Metazoa, Chordata, Testudines, Emydidae. The record is from RefSeq and is a predicted model, not a curated record.
CUAAGACUGCAAAAUUAUCUCUCUCCUUUUGCUGAGUUUGCAGAAGCAGACGAAGAAAGAUUGGACUGGACUUCAAUAAGGCCACAUGACUUGCAGUCUUUGUGGUAUAGCUUUGGAUCAAUAGAAAAGACUGGCACAGUUCCAAUUCAGAUUAAGGACUCUUCCUCCAAGCCUUCCUCUUGUAUGAAUAAAAGAACACAAGACACGGCAAGAGAUGCAAUACUUCAACUAAUUCUUCACAAGAAUGCAUCUCAACCGUAGCAACAUUUCUAAUCACAGCAGGAAAUUACUCCUCUUCUGGGGCUGCCAGAGACAGUUACAUAUCCACACUUGACAGCACUGAAAGGAACAGGAAGGAUUCGCACGUUUCACAACUAAUUCCUCGUUAAAGGGGUUUUUAAAAAAAAAAAAAUCUAUAAAAACAGUUUAGAAUAAAUGUGUUCUGUGGAUCUCUGGUAGUCCACAGAUCCAUUCCAGGUGUUCUGCAGUGCUGCUUAUA